Molecule: ribosomal RNA, 641 nt
Filed under: Lachancea thermotolerans
Lineage: Eukaryota; Fungi; Ascomycota; Saccharomycetes; Saccharomycetales; Saccharomycetaceae
Description: partial large subunit ribosomal RNA
Rfam family: Eukaryotic large subunit ribosomal RNA
Source: RNAcentral
UGCCUUAGUACGGCGAGUGAAGCGGCAAAAGCUCAAAUUUGAAAUCUGGCACCUUCGGUGUCCGAGUUGUAAUUUGAAGAAGCUACUUUGGGGCUAGUCCUUGUCUAUGUUCCUUGGAACAGGACGUCAUGGAGGGUGAGAAUCCCGUAUGGCGAGGAGUCUAGUCCUAUGUAAAGUGCUUUCGACGAGUCGAGUUGUUUGGGAAUGCAGCUCUAAGUGGGUGGUAAAUUCCAUCUAAAGCUAAAUAUUGGCGAGAGACCGAUAGCGAACAAGUACAGUGAUGGAAAGAUGAAAAGAACUUUGAAAAGAGAGUGAAAAAGUACGUGAAAUUGUUGAAAGGGAAGGGCAUUUGAUCAGACAUGGUGUUUUGCGACCCUCGCUCCUUGUGGGUGGGGAUCUCGCAGCUCACUGGGCCAACAUCAGUUUUGGCGGUAGGAUAAAUCUUUGGGAACGUGGCUUGUCUUCGGAGAAGCGUUAUAGCCCAGGGGAAUACUGCCAGCCGGGACUGAGGACUGCGACUUUUGUCAAGGAUGUUGGCAUAAUGGUUAAAUGCCGCCCGUCUUGAAACACGGACCAAGGAGUCUAACGUCUAUGCGAGUGUUUGGGUGUAAAACCCGUACGCGUAAUGAAAGUGAACGUAG